This 347-nucleotide ribosomal RNA is filed under the name Salmonella enterica. Its description in RNAcentral is "partial 16S ribosomal RNA". It matches the Rfam family "Bacterial small subunit ribosomal RNA", at positions 1 to 344 of the family's 1533-position model. Lineage: Bacteria; Pseudomonadati; Pseudomonadota; Gammaproteobacteria; Enterobacterales; Enterobacteriaceae. RNAcentral also lists the same sequence under 1 other name. The record is from RNAcentral.
AAAUUGAAGAGUUUGAUCAUGGCUCAGAUUGAACGCUGGCGGCAGGCCUAACACAUGCAAGUCGAACGGUAACAGGAAGCAGCUUGCUGCUUCGCUGACGAGUGGCGGACGGGUGAGUAAUGUCUGGGAAACUGCCUGAUGGAGGGGGAUAACUACUGGAAACGGUGGCUAAUACCGCAUAACGUCGCAAGACCAAAGAGGGGGACCUUCGGGCCUCUUGCCAUCAGAUGUGCCCAGAUGGGAUUAGCUAGUUGGUGAGGUAACGGCUCACCAAGGCGACGAUCCCUAGCUGGUCUGAGAGGAUGACCAGCCACACUGGAACUGAGACACGGUCCAGACUCCUACGG